This 249-nucleotide ribosomal RNA is filed under the name uncultured bacterium. Its description in RNAcentral is "partial small subunit ribosomal RNA". It matches the Rfam family "Bacterial small subunit ribosomal RNA", at positions 26 to 278 of the family's 1533-position model. The record is from RNAcentral.
AGGACGAACGCUGGCGGCGUGCUUAACACAUGCAAGUCGAGCGGAAAGGCCCUUCGGGGUACUCGAGCGGCGAACGGGUGAGUAACACGUGAGCAACCUGCCCUUCACUCUGGAAUAACUACCGGAAACGGUGGCUAAUACCGGAUAUGAGACGUACACGCAUGUGUCGCGUCUGGAAAGAUUUAUCGGUGAAGGAUGGGCUCGCGGCCUAUCAGCUUGUUGGUGGGGUAGUGGCCCACCAAGGCGACG